AUGAGCAUCUUGAGUUACAAUAUUAAUGCCUGGCUCAUCAAGAGAAGUUGUGGAGUACUGAAAGUCACUGUGGUUCUUCUGGUGAAGACCAUGGGACCUUCCAUACCAAGAAACAUAUCUAGGCUUGAGCAAAUCCAUGUGUUCAAUCAGAACAGCAAAGGUAACUCUAGAAUGGUGGCUCCUAUCUUCAAACAUCUGACUUUAGAAGUAGUUUACAAUUUUUUUUAUUAUUUUUUUUUCUGGCUAAUACAGUUGUCUGUCUGGAAUAUCCCAUUUUUGGGAGCUAGAAAUGGGUGAGGUAGUGUUUUUCUGCUGCUUAAUGUAAGAGUAACGGAGUGCUUGUUUUGUUCUAAGACUCAUUUUGAAGAAAGUGUUAAAUAAUCAGGCUGGGAGGAAAAGUGGUGGGCAAUGAUGACAAAUUACUUUUUAAAAAGUUUUUCUAGAACUUUUAAGACCCAAAUUGUAAGCUUUUCCUGGCAUUUUUUCCUUGUAGAAAUACGUGAUGAUUGACAAUUUGAUCUUGCACCCAGGUACACAAUCUUGCAUUUUGUAUUAGAUGCUGCAUUAAGGAUGCAUUAAAGUGGAUUUGAAGAACUCUAGGUCUGUUUGUAUUUUAUUCUGAAUCAGUAAAAGAGAACUGGUGAAAGCAGUAGCUAUGCUGUAAAUUCAUUGUUGUAUCCCACAGAAGGCUUUUAAGUUAUUCAAGCUGUCUUUUCACAAAUCUAAUAAUUUGUGUUGUGUGAAAAGUGAUUACGUUAACUGUGAAUUCUUGUCUACUUGGUGAUAAGAUCAUAUUAUUUGCUCUACUGCUGUGAUGAGCAUCAACUGCUACCUUUUGUUACUGUACAUGAAAUGAGCUAACUCUAGAGAUCAACAGAAAAAUGUCCUUCCCACUGAAAAUACAACUAGUGCUCUUGCUGGCAAUAGCUAUGGAGGGACUGGUGAUUAAUUUUGCCGGCAUGACUUUGUACUAUUUUAAGUUUCCUCUUCCCAUGGGGAACUCUGAGCUGGUUGACCUAGUUGAAUCCUAAAGACCUCUUAUAUAGCUAAAGAGUCAAAAUAGAGCCAGUCAAUUGACACAAAAGGUCAGAGAUGCCAUUAGGGAUGGAAUUGGUUAGGGAUGUCUUGAUGUACUAGAGUCUUCUGUAGAAAAAUGUCUUUUACCAACCUGACCCAAGAUGAAAUUUCUCACUGAAACAGGAGAGAUGUUACAGAAAUACUCAGGAUUAGAGUAUUUGUUUAAGAAAUUGAAUUCAAAGCCCAUGAUUCAGACCAAGAAUAUGAACUUGAGUUUUAUAAAUCCUGGACAAGUAUUGUCCUUACUGCUAAGUUAUCAACAUUAAAUUUUCUGUCAUUUCUCAUUGCAAUGUUUGAUUUGCAAAUCACACAACAAAUCCAAAGUAUCCUCUCAUGUUAUAGUUUUAAUAGUCAGCCUAUACAUUACUGCAUUGCUGACCUAUUCUUUCUGUAUUUUUACAAAUGAUUCUGAAUAGUCUCAAUUAGUCUGUUGUAGACUUGGAUGGUUUCUGCUGUUUUUUUUUUUUCACUCCAUUUGUAGCCUGUUACCUGGAAGAGUUCGGUGCUAUAACCUCUGGUUUUUCAAAACAUUUCAAAAGAAGUGUGGUGUGCAGAAAUGAAACAUGAAUGUAGUCAGGCAAUGUGUUGCUUUUACUUUGUGAUUUAUUGGAGGAAACACUAUUGAUUUCAGGCAUCAAUGACAAAAUUUGUUGACAAUAAAUCACCUAAAAGGUAUGGCA
Molecule: long non-coding RNA, 1757 nt
Organism: Anser cygnoides (Swan goose)
Lineage: Eukaryota; Metazoa; Chordata; Aves; Anseriformes; Anatidae
Source: Ensembl